AAGAUGUAGGCGCGAGUGGCGGACGGGUGAGUAACGCGUGAGUAAUCUGCCUCAUACAGGAGAAUAACACUAAGAAAUUGGUGCUAAUACUCCAUAAGCUCACAUUAUGACAUCAUAGAGUGAGAAAAGAUUUAUCGGUAUGAGAGGAGCUCGCGUCUGAUUAGCUAGUUGGUGGGGUAACGGCCUACCAAGGCAACGAUCAGUAGCCGACCUGAGAGGGUGAUCGGCCACAUUGGGACUGAGACACGGCCCAAACUCC
Molecule: ribosomal RNA, 259 nt
Filed under: uncultured bacterium
Lineage: Bacteria
Description: partial 16S ribosomal RNA
Rfam family: Bacterial small subunit ribosomal RNA
Source: RNAcentral